AUUGCUUGAGACACGGCGCGUCUUGGGACCGGGAGAAGUCAGAGUAAUGCCUUAGGGAGCGGUAAAAUGUGAUAAUCCAAGGUAGACCACCUGCGGCGAAGGCGUCUGACUAGAACGGAUCCGACGGUGAGGGACGAAGGCCAGGGGAGCGAACCGGAUUAGAUACCCGAGUAGUCCUGGCAGUAAACGCUGUGUGCUAGGUGUUGCGUGUCUUUAAGGACUCGCAGUAUCGAUGCGAAGGCGAUAAGCACACCACCUGGGAAGUACGGUCGCAAGACUGAAACUUAAAGGAAUUGACGGGGGAGCACUACAAGGGGUGCGGCGUGCGGUUUAAUCUAACUUAACACAGAGAAUCUCACCAGAGGCGCCGGCAGUAUGAAGGUCAGUCUAAAGGGCUUACCUGACGAGCCGAGAGGUAGUGCAUGGCCGUCGUCAGCUCGUGCCGUAAGGUGUCCUGUUAAGGCAGGCAACGAGCGAGACCUGCAUCUACAAUUGCCAGCAUGUUCUACGGAAUGAAUGGGCACAUUGUAGGGACUGCCGUGGAAACACGGAGGAAGGUGCAGGCUACGGUAGGUCUGUAUGCUCCGAAUCUUCUGGGCAACACGCGCGCAACAAUGGUAAGGACAAUGGGAUACUACUCCGAAAGGAGGCGUUAACCCUCUAAACCUUAUCUAAGUACAGAUUGUGGGUUGUAACUCACCCACAUGACGAUGGAAUCCCUAGUAAUCGGAAGUCAACAUCUUCCGGUGANAUACGUCCCUGCUCCUUGCACACACCGCCC
RNAcentral lists this ribosomal RNA (781 nucleotides) under uncultured euryarchaeote. RNAcentral describes it as "bacterial SSU rRNA". It matches the Rfam family "Archaeal small subunit ribosomal RNA", at positions 571 to 1351 of the family's 1478-position model. The record is from RNAcentral. Lineage: Archaea; Methanobacteriati; Methanobacteriota.